Molecule: ribosomal RNA, 253 nt
Filed under: uncultured bacterium
Lineage: Bacteria
Description: partial 16S ribosomal RNA
Rfam family: Bacterial small subunit ribosomal RNA
Source: RNAcentral
AACGUAGGGGACAAGCGUUAUCCGGAUUUACUGGGCGUAAAGCGCCCGUAGGCGGCCUGACAAGUUGGACGUGAAAGCUCCUGGCUUAACUGGGAGAGGCCGUUCAAAACUGUCAAGCUAGAGUCUGGAAGAGGAAAGCGGAAUUCCCGGUGUAGCGGUGAAAUGCGCAGAUAUCGGGAAGAACACCUAUGGCGAAGGCAGCUCUCUGGGACGGUACUGACGCUGAGACGCGAAAGCGUGGGGAGCGAACAGG